This is a non-coding RNA of Decorospora gaudefroyi, 106 nucleotides long. The record is from the annotation of a GenBank genome assembly. NCBI's taxonomy places the organism in Eukaryota, Fungi, Ascomycota, Dothideomycetes, Pleosporales, Pleosporaceae.
GGCACUUUGGCGGAGUGGUUAACGCGCUGGCCUGCUAGUCUUCUGUUGUACGGAGGAAAGUAAGCCAGUUCCUUCGGGAGCGUGUGUUCGAAUCACACAGGUGUCG